This 837-nucleotide long non-coding RNA is filed under the name Oryza sativa (Asian cultivated rice). Its description in RNAcentral is "long non-coding RNA (OSAT_LNC001557)". The record is from RNAcentral. Lineage: Eukaryota; Viridiplantae; Streptophyta; Magnoliopsida; Poales; Poaceae.
CUGAUGCGGCAAGGAUUAUGAGGGAACUUCAGAGCUUAUAUCCUGUAAGUAUUAUUAGAAACCUCUCAUAUUACAUAUAUGAAUUGUAAGGUCAAAAUGUCAAAUGUUUCCUCAGCAUUUUAACUAGCUGUAAUUUCGGUAGUUUCUUUGACACAAGUGAAGAAAAGAAAAAAAAUCUUACAUUAGCAGGUCUGUAACUUCCAAACUGAAUAUCAAAACCUAUAAACCUUGUGCAGAACAAUCAGGUUGCAAACUCGUGAUGCACUUGUAUUUCAGCCUUCUUAUUACACCAUAUAUCUUUCGGGAUGUAGAGACCGAGUUUUAUUUAAUCCAUUAUCUAAAAAAAUUACACCAUAUAUCUGGUAGUUACUUGGGAAAAAAUGAUCAUACGUAGAAGAAAUUGAAGCACACCCAAUAAUUUAAACACAGCAGACUCUAAAUACCUUCUUAUGAUGAGAAGUAGCCGAUUACGAAUUUUCAUUGACCUGCAAAAUGGAUGAGAAAUGUAUGUAAAUGCAGACAGCUUCAGUGUAAACCAAUACUUUCUUAUUUCUUUUAGACUGACAUUUCUGAUGUUAGAUUGCACGGUUUUAUAUCCAAUCUGGAUGUGUAACCAUUAGCAUUUAGUAAAACGUUGAAUAGGUCUUAUCAUCAUCCUUAUUUCUCGCACUCUUGCAUUAGGUACUCUUCUUAACAGAAGGAGGAACAGCUCAACACAAAGAUUCAAGAAGGAACUCACUUGAUGAAGCUAUCCGGGUCUGCCUAGAGUACGAGUUGCAUGGACUUGUAUCAGAGGUAAGAGGGGUUUUAAAGAAUCCCUCUGCAGUCCUUAGAGCA